CAAAGCAGAGCAGCAGAAAGACGUGCUGAGUGUAAAGCUGUCAGCAGGGGGAAUAACACAGGGCUGUGAAUGAGUCCUGUCACUGUGAUCAGGCUCCUCCUUCUAAUCCACCAACUUAGUGUUGAUGAAGACUAAACAGAGAGAUCACAGCUUCUUUAUACUUGCUGUAGCUCACAGUUACUCUACACUGCAGAUAUGACGCCUCUGUUCAUCUCAGUGCUGCUGGCUGCUAUGUGCCUCGAAUGCAGAGCACAAAAAGACAACGUGCUGCAAGCAAAAGGAGAAGAGACUGCUGCUGCAGGAGGCACAGUAACACUUCACUGUCUCUAUAACAGCAGUGGAACAAAUAAUUAUCUCUUCUGGUACAAACAGGAUGGAAACAACAGCCCCAAAUUCAUCCUGAUGCGUAUCAGCAGGGAUGAUGGAAAGACAGCAGAAGAGUUCAAGGAGAGAUUUUCAUCCACACUGGAUUCCAGCAUCAGAUCAGUUCCUCUGAAAAUCCAGAAGCUUCAGCUGUCUGACUCUGCUGUGUACUACUGUGCUCUGCAGCCCACAGUGACAGGAAACAGCAAAACUCUGUACAAAAACCUUUGGAGCAAAGACAACAGAAUACUCCACAACAUCCACUAGAGGGAGCCACACA
Molecule: non-coding RNA, 643 nt
Organism: Oreochromis niloticus (Nile tilapia)
Lineage: Eukaryota; Metazoa; Chordata; Actinopteri; Cichliformes; Cichlidae
Source: the annotation of a RefSeq genome assembly